Molecule: ribosomal RNA, 1274 nt
Filed under: human gut metagenome
Description: bacterial LSU rRNA
Rfam family: Bacterial large subunit ribosomal RNA
Source: RNAcentral
AGCAGCCACUCAUUAAAAGAGUGCGUAAUAGCUCACUGGUCGAGUGACUCUGCGCGGAAAAUAUAACGGGGCUAAGCAUGAAACCGAAGCUUGGGCUUGUCUUAGGACAGGGGUAGGGGAGCGUCGAGUAUGGGGUGAAGUCAGAGCGAGAGCACUGGUGGACUGUACUGGAGUGAGAAUGCCGGAAUGAGUAGCGAGAAUUAUGUGGGAAUCAUAAUGGCCGAAAAUCUAAGGUUUCUUGGGGAAGGUUCGUCCGCCCAAGGUAAGCCGGGAGCUAAGGCGAGGCCGCGAGGCGUAGUCGAUGCACAUACGGUAGAAAUUCCGUAGCCACCGAACUUUAAACCAGAAGGACACUUUCAGAUAGCGGGACCCAGCCGUUGGUAGAGCUGGGCGCAAGGGACCGAAAUAUAGUAGGGAAGUCCGCGAUGCUGGGAGGCGAGAAAAGCUCUGGUGAAUACUAAGGUGCCCGUACCGCAAACCGACACAGGUAGAUGAGGAGAGAAUCCUAAGGCCAACGGGAGAAGGGUUGUUAAGGAACUCGGCAAAUUGACCCCGUAACUUCGGAAGAAGGGGAGCCUCGAAAGAGGCCGCAGUGAAUAGGCCCAAGCAACUGUUUACCAAAAACACAGGUCUAUGCUAAAUCGAAAGAUGACGUAUAUGGGCUGACGCCUGCCCGGUGCCGGAAGGUUAAGAGGAGAGCUUAGCGCAAGCGAAGGUUUGAAUUGAAGCCCCGGUAAACGGCGGCCGUAACUAUAACGGUCCUAAGGUAGCGAAAUUCCUUGUCAGGUAAGUUCUGACCCGCACGAAUGGCGUAAUGAUUUGGGCACUGUCUCAACAGCCCGCCCGGCGAAAUUGUAGUACUGGUGAAGAUGCCAGUUACCCGCAACUAGACGGAAAGACCCCAUGGAGCUUUACUGCAGCUUAAUACUGAGAUUCGGUAAUUCAUGUACAGGAUAGGUGGGAGACUUAGAAGCAGAGUCGUUAGGCGCUGUGGAGUCACCCUUGGGAUACCACCCUUGGAUUGCUGGGUUUCUAACCUGCGGCCAUGAAUCUGGUCGGGGGACACUGUUAGGCGGGCAGUUUGACUGGGGCGGUCGCCUCCUAAAGUGUAGCGGAGGCGCUCAAAGCUUGGCUCAGCAUGGAUGGAAAUCAUGCAAUGAGUGUAAACGUAUAAGCCAAGUUGACUGCGAGACCGACGGGUCGAGCAGGUACGAAAGUAGGAGUUAGUGAUCCGGUGGUAUGUGAGUGGAAAUGCCAUCGCUCAACGGAUAAAA